RNAcentral lists this ribosomal RNA (493 nucleotides) under uncultured bacterium. RNAcentral's name for it is "partial 16S ribosomal RNA". It matches the Rfam family "Bacterial small subunit ribosomal RNA", at positions 28 to 507 of the family's 1533-position model. The record is from RNAcentral.
GACGAACGCUGGCGGCGUGCCUAACACAUGCAAGUUGAGCGACGAACCAGGGCUUGCCCUGGGGCAAAGCAGCGAACGGGUGAUUAACACGUGGGUAACCUACCCCGAUAACCGGGACAACCCGAGGAAACUCGGGCUAAUACCGGAUGUGCUCACUUGACUUCGGUUCAGUGCGUAAAGGAAGCUUCGGCCUCCGUAUCGGGAGGGGCCCGCGGCCCAUUAGUUUGUUGGUGAGGUAACGGCUCACCAAGACCGCGAUGGGUAGCUGGUCUGAGAGGACGAUCAGCCACACUGGGACUGAGACACGGCCCAGACUCCUACGGGAGGCAGCAGUGGGGAAUCUUGCGCAAUGCGCGAAAGCGUGACGCAGCAACGCCGCGUGGGGGAAGAAGGCCUUCGGGUUGUAAACCCCUUUCAGGAGGGACGAAGGUUCGGCGGUGAAUAGCCGUCCGGACUGACGGUACCUCCACAAGAAGCCCCGGCUAACUACGUG